UACGAGUUGUGCAAACGUUAUUCGGAAUCACUGGGCUUAAAGGGUGCGUAGGCGGCUAUGAAAGUCAGAUGUGAAAUCCCUCGGCUCAACCGAGGAACUGCAUUUGAAACUGUAUAGCUUGAGGGAGACAGAGGUGAGCGGAACUGAUGGUGGAGCGGUGAAAUGCGUAGAUAUCGGGAGGAACAUCAGUGGCGAAGGCGGCUGCCUGGCCCAAUACUGACACUCAGGUGCGACAGCGUGGGGAGCAAACAGG
Molecule: ribosomal RNA, 253 nt
Filed under: uncultured bacterium
Lineage: Bacteria
Description: partial 16S ribosomal RNA
Rfam family: Bacterial small subunit ribosomal RNA
Source: RNAcentral